This 784-nucleotide ribosomal RNA is filed under the name uncultured marine bacterium. Its description in RNAcentral is "bacterial SSU rRNA". It matches the Rfam family "Bacterial small subunit ribosomal RNA", at positions 14 to 794 of the family's 1533-position model. The record is from RNAcentral.
UGAUCCUGGCUCAGGAUGAACGCUAGCGGCAGGCUAACACAUGCAAGUCGAGGGGUAACAUUGUAGCUUGCUACAGAUGACGACCGGCGCACGAGUGCGUAACGCGUAUAGAACUUACCUUUUACAGAGGGAUAGCCUUUAGAAAUGAAGAUUAAUACCUCAUAGUAUUAUUGAUUGGCAUCAAUUAAUAAUUAAAGGUUUAUCGGUAAAAGAUGGCUAUGCGUCCUAUUAGCUAGAUGGUAAGGUAAUGGCUUACCAUGGCUACGAUAGGUAGGGGCCCUGAGAGGGGGAUCCCCCACACUGGUACUGAGACACGGACCAGACUCCUACGGGAGGCAGCAGUGAGGAAUAUUGGGCAAUGGAGGUAACUCUGACCCAGCCAUGCCGCGUGCAGGAAGACUGCCCUAUGGGUUGUAAACUGCUUUUAUACAGGAAGAAACACUCGUACGUGUACGAGCUUGACGGUACUGUAAGAAUAAGGACCGGCUAACUCCGUGCCAGCAGCCGCGGUAAUACGGAGGGUCCGAGCGUUAUCCGGAAUCAUUGGGUUUAAAGGGUCCGCAGGCGGUCAAUUAAGUCAGAGGUGAAAUCCCAUAGCUUAACUAUGGAACUGCCUUUGAUACUGGUUGACUUGAGUCAUAUGGAAGUAGAUAGAAUGUGUAGUGUAGCGGUGAAAUGCAUAGAUAUUACACAGAAUACCGAUUGCGAAGGCAGUCUACUACGUAUGUACUGACGCUCAUGGACGAAAGCGUGGGGAGCGAACAGGAUUAGAUACCCUGGUAGU